Long non-coding RNA from Numida meleagris (helmeted guineafowl), 1126 nucleotides. RefSeq lists it as uncharacterized. NCBI's taxonomy places the organism in Eukaryota, Metazoa, Chordata, Aves, Galliformes, Numididae. The record is from RefSeq and is a predicted model, not a curated record. The transcript is spliced from 2 exons.
UAGGAAACGACACAGGAAGAAAGAAUAAGAGCACGGUUAUUUACACAGCGCUCAGAGAACGUUAGGAUCUUACAGUUCCAACAGACACAACUGCUACAUGAACAUUUCAGGCUGGAAAACGUGGUGAUGGCAGAGAGGAGGAAUCUACACCGCAGCCCUCAGCUUCUGUUGCUGCUUAGCAACACGUGCCAUUGUUUUAUCGCACCAUGAAACACGCUGCAUUUAAAACCACCCUAAGAUUUGGGUCCCAGCUUUGUCCAAGAUGAAACAUGGUCACCUAUCAAGGGAACAGCACGUUCUGGCAGGCGUGGAACAGAGCUGAUGCAUCCCACCCAGCACCGCCACAAGAUGGUCCUGGCUCUGCUGCCCGCUGUAACCACGCGUUCUGCAUGGCACGUUGUCUUCAACCAGCUCUUUUCUGAAGAGAAGCGUUUCUGCGCCGUCCCCAGGCUCUACGCUGCGUGCCCCAUAACUUUUGGUGUGAGACACGAGCACCGGAUUUCUUCCCUCUGAAAAUCACAUUAUGCUCAGAAAGUUAUUUUUUUGGAUGUGUCGGCCUGGGAAUCGGCUGUUCUCGGGGAGUGUCCCUCACCAUCUGCUCCUACAUCUGUCAAAUCCCCUCACACACGGCUGCCCAGAGCCCCUGUUUGGGAAACCGGAGGAUAGAUAAGCACUCCUUUUUAUUUUUCCUCCGCUGCAGUGAUGUGAACACAGGGGAAAUUCAGAGGGAAGGGUUAUUGUGCAAGGUUGGAGGCAAGGUAUGCACACUUAGAGCACGCACAGUUAAAAUCUCCAGGGCUGUGCUGCUGGGGAGCCCCUUGGCUGCAGCUUGGGCAGCUGGCUACAUCUCCCCCUUCUCAUAACGCCUUUUUAAGGAUUUCUAUUAAUAUUUCUAAUGAACAUUUCCCUCCUGUGAUGAUGAAAGCCUCUGACCUUUUGAGCAUUUUCAUGAAUAUUUAAUCGUUUUUCCUGGAGUUUAUUAUAUUCUUUUCCGUUGCUUAGGUUCUUCGUGCGCGAUUUGAGGGAUGCAAUGGCUGUUGCAAAGUUUAGAGCUGAUUUGUUUCAUCUUUUAUUCUAGUUGCCAAGGAGAGCCAAGUGCCACCCAAAUAAAGGAUUUGAGUUCAGA